This 88-nucleotide transfer RNA is filed under the name Caudoviricetes sp. Its description in RNAcentral is "tRNA-Ser". It matches the Rfam family "tRNA". Rfam says of the family: Transfer RNA (tRNA) molecules are approximately 80 nucleotides in length. Their secondary structure includes four short double-helical elements and three loops (D, anti-codon, and T loops). Lineage: Duplodnaviria; Heunggongvirae; Uroviricota; Caudoviricetes. The record is from RNAcentral.
GCGGCAAUACUCAAGAGGUAAAGAGGGCUGAUUGCUAAUCAGUUAGGCGGCUUUUAGUCGUGUGAAGGUUCGAAUCCUUCUUGCCGCG